Molecule: ribosomal RNA, 340 nt
Filed under: uncultured Pseudomonadota bacterium
Lineage: Bacteria; Pseudomonadati; Pseudomonadota
Description: bacterial SSU rRNA
Rfam family: Bacterial small subunit ribosomal RNA
Source: RNAcentral
AACGAACGCUUGCGGCGUGCUUAACACAUGCAAGUCGAACGAGAAAGGGGCUUCGGCCCUGAGUAAAGUGGCGCACGGGUGAGUAACGCGUAGGUAAUCUACCCCUGUGUUCGGGACAACAUCGGGAAACUGGUGCUAAUACCGGAUACGUUUCACGGAUUGCGAAAUAAGUGAAGGAAAGGUGGCGCCCCUUCGGGGGGCUAUUGCACGGGGAUGAGCCUGCGUACCAUUAGCUAGUUGGCAGGGUAAGGGCCUACCAAGGCGACGAUGGUUAGCGGGUCUGAGAGGAUGAUCCGCCACACUGGAACUGAAACACGGUCCAGACUCCUACGGGUGGCUG